GACCCUAACCCUACCCUACGUAAACACAGAUCCUAACCCUACCCUACGUAAAACACAGACCCUAACCCUACCUACGUUAAACACAGACCCUACGUAACACACAGACCCUACCCUAUGUAAAACACAGACCGUACGUAAAUCACAGACCCUACCCUACCCUACGAAAAACACAGACCCUAACCCUACCCUAGGUAAAACACAGACCCUACCCUAGGUAAAACACAGACCCUAACCCUACCCUACGUAAAACACAGACCCUAACCCUACCCUACGUGAAACACAGACCCUAACCCUACCCUACGUGAAACACAGACCCUAACCCUACCCUACGUAAAACACAGACCCUAACCCUACCCUACGUAAAACACAGACCCUAACCCUACCCUACGUAAAACAGACCCUAACCCUACCCUACGUUAAACACAGACCCUAACCCUACCCUAGGUAAAACACAGACCCUAACCCUACCCUACGUAAAACACAGACCCUAACCCUACCCUACGUUAAACACAGACCCUACGUAACACACAGACCCUACCCUACCCUACGUAAAACACAGACCCUACCCUAGGUAAAACACAGACCCUAACCCUACCCUACGUAAAACACAGACCCUAACCCUACCCUACGUUAAACACAGACCCUACGUAACACACAGACCCUACCCUACCCUACGUAAAACACAGACCCUACGUAAAUCACAGACCCUACCCUACCCUACGUAAAACACAGACCCUACCCUAGGUAAAACACAGACCCUAACCCUACCCUAGGUAAAACACAGACCCUACCCUACGUAAAACACAGACCCUAACCCUACCCUACGUAAAACACAGACCCUAACCCUACCCUACGUUAAACACAGACCCUACGUAACACACAGACCCUACCCUACCCUACGUAAAUCACAGACCCUACGUAAAUCACAGACCCUACCCUACCCUACGUAAAUCACAGACCCUAACACCAGCCUACGUAAAGCACAGACCCUAACACCAGCCUACGUAAAACACAGACCCUAACACCAGCCUACGUAAAACACAGACCCUAACACCAGCCUACGUAAAACACAGACCCUAACACCAGCCUACGUAAAACACAGACCCUAACACCAGCCUACGUAAAACACAGACCCUAACCCUACCCUACGUAAAACACAGACCCUAACUCUACCCUACGUAAAACACAGACCCUAACCCUACCCUACGUAAAACACAGAUCCUAACCCUACCCUACGUAAAACACAGACCCUAACCCUACCCUACGUUAAACACAGACCCUACGUAACACACAGACCCUACCCUAUGUAAAACACAGACCGUACGUAAAUCACAGACCCUACCCUACCCUACGUAAAACACAGACCCUAACCCUACCCUAGGUAAAACACAGACCCUACCCUAGGUAAAACACAGACCCUAACUCUACCCUAGGUAAAACACAGACCCUAACCCUACCCUAGGUAAAACACAGACCCUAACCCUACCCUACGUAAAACACAGACCCUAACCCUACCCUACGUGAAACACAGACCCUAACCCUACCCUACGUGAAACACAGACCCUAACCCUACCCUACGUAAAACACAGACCCUAACCCUACCCUACGUAAAACACAGACCCUAACCCUACCCUACGUAAAACAGACCCUAACCCUACCCUACGUUAAACACAGACCCUAACCCUACCCUAGGUAAAACACAGACCCUAACCCUACCCUACGUAAAACACAGACCCUAACCCUACCCUACGUUAAACACAGACCCUACGUAACACACAGACCCUACCCUACCCUACGUAAAACACAGACCCUACGUAAAUCACAGACCCUACCCUACCCUACGUAAAACACAGACCCUAACCCUACCCUAGGUAAAACACAGACCCUACCCUAGGUAAAACACAGACCCUAACCCUACCCUACGUAAAACACAGACCCUAACCCUACCCUACGUUAAACACAGACCCUACGUAACACACAGACCCUACCCUACCCUACGUAAACACAGACCCUACGUAAAUCACAGACCCUACCCUACCCUACGUAAAACACAGACCCUACCCUAGGUAAAACACAGACCCUAACCCUACCCUAGGUAAAACACAGACCCUAACCCUACCCUACGUAAAACACAGACCCUAACCCUACCCUACGUUAAACACAGACCCUAACCCUACCCUACGUAAAACACAGACUCUACCCUGCGUAAAACACAGACCCUACGUAAAUCACAGACCCUAACACCAGCCUACGUAAAGCACAGACCCUAACACCAGCCUAUGUAAAACACAGACCCUAACCCUACCCUACGUAAAAACACAGACCCUAACCCUACCCUACGUAAAACACAGACCCUAACCCUACCCUACGUAAAACACAGACCCUAACCCUACCCUAGGUAAAACACAGACCCUAACCUACGUUAAACACAGACCCUAACCCUAACGCUACGUAAAAACACAGACCCUAACACCACCCAACGUAAAACAGAGCCAACCCUAGGUAAAACACAGACCCUAACCCUACCCUACGUAAAACACAGAUCCUAACCCUACCCUACGUAAAACACAGACCCUAACCCACCCUACGUUAAACACAGACCCUACGUAAAUCACAGACCCUACC
This is a long non-coding RNA of Oncorhynchus masou masou (cherry salmon), 2625 nucleotides long. RefSeq lists it as uncharacterized. The transcript is spliced from 5 exons. NCBI's taxonomy places the organism in Eukaryota, Metazoa, Chordata, Actinopteri, Salmoniformes, Salmonidae. The record is from RefSeq and is a predicted model, not a curated record.